GGAGGGUGCUUGCACCCGAGUGUUCGAGUGGCGAACGGGUGAGUAACGCGUGAAUGAUCUGUCUUGGACUAGCGGAUAACAGCAAGAAAUUGUUGCUAAUACGCUAUAAGACCACGCUGCCGCAUGGCAGAGGGGUCAAAGGAGCAAUCCGGUCUGAGGUGAGUUCGCGUCCCAUUAGAUAGUAGGCGGGGUAAUGGCCCACCUAGUCAACGAUGGGUAGCCGACCUGAGAGGGUGAUCGGCCACACUGGGACUGAGACACGGCCCAGACUCCUACGGGAGGCAGCAGUGGGGAAUAUUGGGCAAUGGGCGAAAGCCUUACCCAGCAACGCCGCGUGAGAGAAGAAGGUUCUCGGAUUGUAAAUCUCUGUCCUUGGGGAAGAAAAAAAUGACGGUACCCAAGGAGGAAGCCCCGGCUAACUACGUGCCAGCAGCCGCGGUAAGACGUAGGGGGCGAGCGUUGUCCGGAAUUACUGGGCGUAAAGGGCGCGUAGGCGGCCCGAAAAGUCAGGCGUGAAAGCCCCAUUUUCAAGGUGGGGAGUGCGUUUGAAACUGACGGGCUUGAGUGCAGGAGAGGAAAGCGGAAUUCCAAGUGUAGCGGUGAAAUGCGUAGAGAUUUGGAGGAACACCAGUGGCGAA
This 638-nucleotide ribosomal RNA is filed under the name uncultured bacterium. RNAcentral describes it as "bacterial SSU rRNA". It matches the Rfam family "Bacterial small subunit ribosomal RNA", at positions 69 to 719 of the family's 1533-position model. The record is from RNAcentral.